GGUUGGCUCAGAAGCAGCCAUCCUUUAAAGAGUGCGUAACAGCUCACUAGUCGAGUGACCCUGCGCCGAAAAUGUACCGGGGCUAAGCCUGAUACCGAAACUGCGGAUUGUAGGAAACUAUAGUGGUAGGGGAGCGUUGUAUACGAGUAGAAGCCGUACCGUGAGGAGCGGUGGAUUGUAUAGAAGUGAGAAUGCCGGUGUGAGUAGCGAGAUGUAGGUGAGAAUCCUACACACCGAAAGCCCAAGGAUUCCAGGGGAAGGUUCGUCCGCCCUGGGUAAGUCGGGACCUAACGCGAGGCCGAAAGGCGUAGUGGAUGGAAAGCAGGCGAAAGAUUCCUGCACCCGUAUAUGGAGCGAAGGAGUGACGGAGACGGAUAGUGUGACCCUCUUAAUGGAUUGAGGGCGAAGCGAAGCGGCUGGUUACCAGGCAAAUCCGGUAACUGAAAGGCUAGAGCGUGAGAGGUAAGCGAAAUCUUAGGAAAGUAGCGAAGCACAUGAUGACGGCUUCCAGGAAAAGCUUCUGGCAAUGCAUAUGCGGCCCGUACCAAAACCGACACAGGUGGGCAGGGAGAGAAUCCCGAGGUGAGCGAGAGAACUGUUGCCAAGGAACUCGGCAAAAUGACUCCGUAAGUUAGCGAGAAGGAGUGCUUAAGCAAUUAAGCCGCAGUGAAGAGGCCCAAGCGACUGUUUAACUAAAACACAGCUCUCUGCGAAGUCGCAAGACGAAGUAUAGGGGGUGACACCUGCCCGGUGCUGGAAGGUUAAGAGGAUCUGUUAAGAGCGAUCUGAAGCAGUGAUCCGAAGCCCCAGUGAACGGCGGCCGUAACUAUAACGGUCCUAAGGUAGCGAAAUUCCUUGUCAGGUAAGUUCUGACCCGCACGAAAGGUGUAACGAUUUGGGCGCUGUCUCGGCAGCAGACUCGGUGAAAUCUUAGUACCUGUGAAAAUGCAGGUUACCCGCAACUAGACGGAAAGACCCCAUGGAGCUUUACUGCAGCCUGAUAUUGAAUUCUGGUCAUACAUGUACAGGAUAGGUGGGAGACAAAGAGACGUGCACGCCAGUGUACGAGGAGUCGUCGUUGGGAUACCACUCUUGUGUGACCGGGGUUCUAACCUGGUAUCGAGAACAGGUACGGGGAGAGUGUCAGGUGGGCAGUUUGACUGGGGCGGUCGCCUCCCAAAGAGUAACGGAGGCGCCCAAAGGUACGCUCAGAUUGGAUGGAAACCAAUCGACGAGUGCAAUUGCAGAAGCGUGCUUGACUGUGAGACUUACAAGUCGAACAGGGACGAAAGUCGGGAAUAGUGAUCCGGCGGUGCCGAAUGGAAGGGCCGUCGCUCAACGGAUAAAAGCUACCCUGGGGAUAACAGGCUGAUCUCCCCCAAGAGUCCACAUCGACGGGGAGGUUUGGCACCUCGAUGUCGGCUCAUCGCAUCCUGGAGCUGAAGUCGGUUCCAAGGGUUGGGCUGUUCGCCCAUUAAAGCGGUACGCGAGCUGGGUUCAGAACGUCGUGAGACAGUUCGGUCCCUAUCUGUUGUGGGCGAAGGAGAUCUGCGGAGAGCUGUCCUCAGUACGAGAGGACCGGGAUGGACCUACCGCUGGUGCACCGGUUGUUCCGCCAGGGGCAUAGCCGGGUAGCUAAGUAGGGAAAGGAUAAGCGCUGAAAGCAUCUAAGCACGAAGCCUACUCCAAGAUGAGAUCUCCCAUUCG
This 1707-nucleotide ribosomal RNA is filed under the name human gut metagenome. RNAcentral's name for it is "bacterial LSU rRNA". It matches the Rfam family "Bacterial large subunit ribosomal RNA", at positions 1099 to 2820 of the family's 2925-position model. The record is from RNAcentral.